Molecule: non-coding RNA, 115 nt
Organism: Triticum urartu
Lineage: Eukaryota; Viridiplantae; Streptophyta; Magnoliopsida; Poales; Poaceae
Source: Rfam
UAUCUACUCCCUCCAUUCGGAAUUACUUGUCUCGGAAAUGGAUGUAUCUAGAACUAAAAUACGUCUAUAUACAUCCAUUUCUGCGACAAGUAAUUCCGAACGGAGGGAGUACUCU